Molecule: transfer RNA, 66 nt
Filed under: Caerostris extrusa
Lineage: Eukaryota; Metazoa; Arthropoda; Arachnida; Araneae; Araneidae
Description: tRNA-Val
Rfam family: tRNA
About the family: Transfer RNA (tRNA) molecules are approximately 80 nucleotides in length. Their secondary structure includes four short double-helical elements and three loops (D, anti-codon, and T loops). Further hydrogen bonds mediate the characteristic L-shaped molecular structure. tRNAs have two regions of fundamental functional importance: the anti-codon, which is responsible for specific mRNA codon recognition, and the 3' end, to which the tRNAs corresponding amino acid is attached (by aminoacyl-tRNA synthetases). tRNAs cope with the degeneracy of the genetic code in two manners: having more than one tRNA (with a specific anti-codon) for a particular amino acid; and 'wobble' base-pairing, i.e. permitting non-standard base-pairing at the 3rd anti-codon position.
Source: RNAcentral
GGUUCUGUGGUGUAGUGGUUAUCACGUCUGCUUUACACGCAGAAGGCCCCGGUUCGAUCAGAACCA